This 1095-nucleotide long non-coding RNA is filed under the name Mus musculus (house mouse). RNAcentral's name for it is "RIKEN cDNA 4930452G13 gene (4930452G13Rik)". Lineage: Eukaryota; Metazoa; Chordata; Mammalia; Rodentia; Muridae. The record is from RNAcentral.
ACACACCACACGGGCCUUCCAGGGAUCUCCAGUAUUUUGGAGAAGCUGCAUAGAGCUCCUAGAUAGAGGUGUACCACAUCUGCUCUGGUCCUGCUGGGAGGCAGCAGCUCACUAGCUGACUAGAUCUGCCUGUCCAGACUGAGCUGGUUCUGUCAGCUUCACCUACGGAGUGGGGAGGCUGAGCCGACUCUGCUCUUCUCAGACUACUAGCGAAGCAGAUGAGCUCUCCUUUUCUCCUGGAGGUAAAGCUGCCAGACUUCUCCUGGAGCAGCACAGACAGCAGUUACGGUGAAGGUUCCAGAAUUCAAGGGCCUUCGUUUGAAAUGGAGCUUCGCCGCCAUUGAGUUCAUUUCCUGGGAACCUUACUGUGUCCCAUGACAGAAGCCCACAUGGUGAUGCCUUACAAAUUAAGAACUCACCUUUCUUCAGUUCUGCAUGAAGAGGAGAUGGUCCAGAGGAUGUGGCAAUGAUACAGAUACAACCAGAGAAGAAGUUGGUGUUCUUUUCUAAACCAUGGUAAAAAUAACAGGACAUCAUGUAGGAUGAGCGAGUACCAGAAGUUUAGAGGGUGAUGUCCAAGAAAUAAAAGAAUGCUCCAGGAGUCUGAGAUGAAUUCUCCACAGAUCCUUACCCGUCUGGAAGAUUAUGUAUGCCUGGGGGAGUCUCAAAAGAACCGAGGAAACGUAAACAUGAAGGAGGAUUGAGAAAAGGCUGCAAUGUUCUCUGUCCCUCAUACAGACCUAGAGGAAAAUUAUGGCAACCUGGCUGGUCCUGGGCCAGUGCUGUUCCCUUGGCUCUAUACAUCUAAGGCAUCGAAGACUCCCAAGGAUACGGAGUGACUCUGGGUAUCAGCUUAGCACAUGUUAUUUUAGGUGUUUCAACAGUGACACCAUUGAGGUAGUGUGGCUUAGUGAAGGAAUGUGGGCUUGGACGGGAUAGAAUGGGGUUGUCAUUCCACAGUUAUAAGUUAAUAUUCUUAUUAACUUGGGCAAUCAUGUGACUACUCAGUAUCCUAUUUAAAUCUUAUAAAUGCCCACUGAAGUAGGCAUGGACUACUUCUGUGUUGUGGAUACUUUUUAAAAAAAAAAAAAAAAA